This 935-nucleotide ribosomal RNA is filed under the name Monothalamids sp. RNAcentral's name for it is "SSU rRNA". It matches the Rfam family "Eukaryotic small subunit ribosomal RNA", at positions 1160 to 1639 of the family's 1831-position model. The record is from RNAcentral. Lineage: Eukaryota; Foraminifera.
AAGGGCACCACAAGAACGCGUGGAGCAUGUGGCUUAAUUUGACUCAACGGGGGAAAUCUUACCGGGUCCGGACACACUGAGGGUUGACAGGCGCUUGCAUAGCGGCCCGCCCGCCCUUGUGGUGGUGCGGUGCUCCGCCAAUGCUUUCAAAUAUGCUAGUCCUUUCAUGAUUGUGUGAUAGGUGGUGCAUGGCCGUUCUUAGUUCGUGGAGUGAUCUGUCUGCUUAAUUGCGUUUCACAAGGGACUUGAAUGGCAUACGUUGGGCGAGUGCGCCCUCCUAUCCGCUGCCUUCGGGCCGGGGGAGUGCCGCGCCUCGCUUUCAAUCGCCAACAGUCCCGAAGGCAACGAACGUGACCGCAACCUCUUGUUACCUCUCUGUUUUCCACUUCGGCUAGCAGUUGGCGUUCGCGUCAUCUUGCUUGUCCGUUGAGAGAGGUAAACUAGAGGGACCGCCGACGUUUUCAAACCGGAGGAAGGUUGCGGCAAUAACAGGUCUGUGAUGCCCUUAGAUGUUCCGGGCUGCACACGUGCUACAAUGAUUAUUGCAGUGAGCAUCUUCACAAGUUCGUGGGAUGUCUGCGUCGGCCCCGGUAUGCUCGUGCUUGCCGAAGCCUGUCUGUGGGGCGUGGGGCUGGGGGUUUCCCUCACGGGUUGCCCCUGGUCUUCCUGCGCCCCCGGCGUGGUUGAGGCGGCCGGCUCUGGGCUGCCGAUGCGCAUCCGCUAUCACGACACGCCUGGUUCGAAAGUAAUCAGGUAAUCAAUUCGAAGUAAUGAUUUCCACCCGCACAUCUAUAGCGCCCGUGGCCGUCGGCAUCUCGCCGUCUGGCUCACUGGGCGUGUGCUCCAUAACUUCGUGGUGGGGACAGACCCUUGUUAAUUGUUGGUCUCGGUCUCAACUAGGAAUGCCUUGUACGGGUCUUGGUUCAACAAACCAC